This 26-nucleotide unclassified non-coding RNA is filed under the name Mus musculus (house mouse). Its description in RNAcentral is "oocyte_clustered_small_RNA11511". Lineage: Eukaryota; Metazoa; Chordata; Mammalia; Rodentia; Muridae. The record is from RNAcentral.
UGGAGGCAGACAUCUAUCGAGAUGGA